GGCUGUGGCUCAGUGGCAGAGCGCUUGCCUAGCACAUGAGAGGCACUGGGUUUGAUCCUCAGCACCA
Molecule: transfer RNA, 67 nt
Filed under: Marmota monax (woodchuck)
Lineage: Eukaryota; Metazoa; Chordata; Mammalia; Rodentia; Sciuridae
Description: tRNA.Ala
Source: RNAcentral